Molecule: long non-coding RNA, 1868 nt
Organism: Pan troglodytes (chimpanzee)
Lineage: Eukaryota; Metazoa; Chordata; Mammalia; Primates; Hominidae
Source: Ensembl
ACACAGGAAGGGGAACAUCACACUCUGGGGACUGUUGUGGGGUGGGGGGAGGGGGGAGGGAUAGCAUUAGGAGAUAUACCUAAUGCUAAAUGACAAGUUAAUGGGUGCAGCACACCAGCAUGGCACAUGUAUACAUAUGUAACUAACCUGCACAUUGUGCACAUGUACCCUAAAACUUAAAGUAUAAUAAUAAUAAAAUAAAAUAAAAUAAGUUUUAAAUGUAAAAAAAAAAACAGAAAAUGUGUUUUAAUUCUGUGAGUCCUUCCCGAGUACACUUGACACUGUGAUGUGAGCUUUUCACGAAUGCGCCCUUCACCAUGUCUCCUGUUAGCUCAUCCUGGUCUCCAUAAAGCUGCAUAGUUAGGAAGGUAAUCUUCUUGGUUCUCCUGACUUCUGCGUGUCAGAGAGCUACUGUAAGUGAAAGCAGCCAAGAGAGUGUAAAAUACUUUAAAGAUGUGAGAUACUACUUUAUUGUUAAUCUGUGUUGUUAAAAAAAUUCUAAAUGAUGAUGAAUAUGCUUGUUCUCCUUCUCCAGGCAAGCAAGAUGAUAAUUUGAUUUUUGAGUUAACCUGAUGAGUUUUUGUAGCUGUCAAGAGCUCUAAAAUUGAGCCAAUGAAAGCAAAAUUCAAUAGACGAAAGCAAAAAAAUGAAGAAGACAGCAUUAAAGGAAAAGAUCAAGCUUUCUAGCAUCAUACUGGCUAUUAAUAAUGCCUUUGGCUUUGGGAUUGGGAUUUUUUGAUGUGACCAAACAGCCAUUUAUGUUCUCAGAAAACUGGAAUAGGAAUAUCCUAUGGUGGAAGAAAAGAAUGGACCAUGAUGAAAAUUUCUACACCAGAAGAGUUUAAAGAUGAAGAAAGCACCACAGAAGCAGUUCAUGUCUCACUAAGGCUAGACACUGAUGGAUCUAACGUCUCUCUUCGGAAUUUAUUGGCAUUUAACACCUAUUAUCGUCAACUCUGGAGUCCUCAGCUAAACUCUAAGAGAACAGGCAAGCUACAUAUUACCAAGUCUAGAAGCAUCCGUGUAUUAUAUCAGCCAUGAAUGAUCCAGUCUCUGACCUGUGAUCUUCUUUGUCCAAGAUCUUCUCUUCUCACAUGUUUUUUGGUAUCCUUCAUACCAGAGGACUCCCUUGAAGGAAACCUUGACCAGAUAUAGUACACCAAUAGACUUAUUUCUGAGAGUUAAAAAAAAAUUCUACAAAUCAGGUACUAAAAGGAAUGUAAGAGAAUUCCAAAUAUGGGAGGAAGAGCAGGUCGAGCAAGAAGUGGCAUCCACAUAGUAGUUACACUCUAUGACACAAAGCUAUUGAUAAUACCAUGAGAUUUUCUGAGAAAAUACUAUUUAUUUUUUCAUAUGUUUAUGUUCUGCAUCCCCAACAAGGUCAUAAACACUUAAAAAGCAUGAAUUUAUUCUAUCCUCCCACCAUCAGUUUCUAGUAUUAUGCCAAAACUACCAAAAUGACUUGUACCUAUUAAAACCUCAACAUUUUAGAUAUUUUAAGAAGAUAUCUUAUUCAAUUUCUCCUUUAGAUAGAUUUUAGAGACUUUAGAUGUUUCGUGGAUUCAAUUACAGAAAAGGAAGAGAAAAUGAAAAUGGCUGGUAAAUGUAAAAGUCAUUACUUAUUAAUGACAUUAGAGAAGAGGACUAUUUAUUCCCUGUGGCCAGAUGCAAAAAUAAAAUAAAUAAAAUAGUUAAAACCCAUUAGAUGCAUAGUAUGGGGACAUUUAUGGCAAUUAUACUGUUGUGCUAGUUACAGCCUAGCAGUACUCAAGUAAUCACAUCUAAAACAAACACAGCAUGUAAAUUUAUCUAGUUAGCACUGAAUAUAUUAAUUAAUGUGAUUUCAUUAAAGCUUAUUUUUGUAAAGG